AAGAGAAAAAGACAUCUGCCAAACAAAAAGAAAAUCCCUCAUCACUUGUAGUCAUACACACAUCCACUUUUCCCUCAUACACACAUCCACUUUUUUAGUCCAUACUUCACCACAAUACAAAUACAGUCGCUAAAUUUGGUAAAAAUUCAUCCAGUUAUGCUUGCUGAUAUUAUAUUGCUACUGUCCGUCUAUCGCCGCCUCUCAAAGAGUUUAUCCACGGGUCAAAAACAGAAAAGAAAAUAACUAUCCAAGCUCGGUCUGCUUUUUAUAGUGCAUGCCAGCGCUUCCGACUUUCUGGGUAUCUUUGCUCAAACGACAUUCCUAGGUCAUUCAUCCGACUUUCUGGGUAUCUUUGCUCAAACGACAUUCCUAGGUCAUUCAUCCGACUCUCUGGGUAUCUUUGCUCAAACGACAUUCCUAGGUCAUUCAUCCCACUCUCUCAUCUCUUACUGCACAGAUUAGAGCGUGUCCUUGCACAGACUAGAGCGUGUCCUUGCACAGGCUAGAGCGUGUCCUUGCACAGAGCGCGUCUUGAGAGUGUCAGGUCCCUAACAUCAUGACACAUUCUUUGGAGAAAAUUUGAGAAAAUGGGAUUCCAAGAUUGUCCCACUUACAGCUGAAGUGUUUUUACACCUCAUUUGUGAAGUGUUGAAUGGAGAAAAAAUUCCUAAUGUGUCGUGUGUCAGUCAUGUGUCGUGUGUCAUUCAUUUCUCGCAAAAAGUAGAAUAAGAA
This is a long non-coding RNA of Aplysia californica (California sea hare), 732 nucleotides long. RefSeq lists it as uncharacterized. NCBI's taxonomy places the organism in Eukaryota, Metazoa, Mollusca, Gastropoda, Aplysiida, Aplysiidae. The record is from RefSeq and is a predicted model, not a curated record. The transcript has 2 exons.